This 351-nucleotide ribosomal RNA is filed under the name uncultured archaeon. RNAcentral's name for it is "bacterial SSU rRNA". It matches the Rfam family "Archaeal small subunit ribosomal RNA", at positions 352 to 703 of the family's 1478-position model. The record is from RNAcentral.
GCAAUGUGAGAAAUCGCGACGGGGGGAUCCCAAGUGCCAUUCUUAACGGGAUGGCUUUUCAUUAGUGUAAAAAGCUUUUGGAAUAAGAGCUGGGCAAGACCGGUGCCAGCCGCCGCGGUAACACCGGCAGCUCUAGUGGUAGCAAUUUUUAUUGGGCCUAAAGCGUCCGUAGCCGGUUUAAUAAGUCUCUGGUGAAAUCCUGUAGCUUAACUGUGGGAAUUGCUGGAGAUACUAUUAGACUUGAGACCGGGAGAGGUUAGAGGUACUCCCAGGGUAGAGGUGAAAUUCUGUAAUCCUGGGAGGACCGCCUGUUGCGAAGGCGUCUAACUGGAACGGUUCUGACGGUGAGGG